AGAGUUUGAUCAUGGCUCAGGACAAACGCUGGCGGCGUGCGUAACACAUGCAAGUCGGACGAGGUAGAUCUCUUCGGGGGUUUAUCGAGUGGCGGACGGGUGAGUAACACGUGGAUGACCUGCCCAGAGAUGGGGGACACCGCGCAGAAAUGCGCGCUAAGACCGCAUGAGCUGGCCGGCGGCGACGCUGGUCAGGAAAGCUUUUCGGAGCGUCUUUGGAGGGGUCCGCGGCCGAUUAGCUAGUUGGUGGGGUAAGAGCCUACCAAGGCGUCGAUCGGUAGCUGGUCUGAGAGGAGGAUCAGCCACACUGGGAUUGAGAACGGCCCAGACUCCUACGGGGGCAGCAGUGAGGAAUCUUCGGCAAUGGGCGCAAGCCUGACCGAGCAACGCCGCGUGGAGGAUGACGGCCUUCGGGUUGUAAACUCCUUUUCUUUGGAACGAGAACGGACGGUACCAGAGGAAGAAGUCUCGGCUAACUACGUGCCAGCAGCCGCGGUAAUAC
Molecule: ribosomal RNA, 502 nt
Filed under: uncultured bacterium
Lineage: Bacteria
Description: bacterial SSU rRNA
Rfam family: Bacterial small subunit ribosomal RNA
Source: RNAcentral